CUUAGAGAGCUUGCUUUUUAAGCUUAGUGGCGAACGGGUGAGUAACGCGUGAGUAACCUGCCCUAGAGUGGGGGAUAACAGUUGGAAACGACUGCUAAUACCGCAUAAGCGCACAGAAUCGCAUGAUCUGGUGUGAAAAACUCCGGUGGUAUGAGAUGGACCCGCGUCUGAUUAGCUAGUUGGCAGGGCAACGGCCUACCAAGGCGACGAUCAGUAGCCGACCUGAGAGGGUGACCGGCCACAUUGGGACUGAGACACGGCCCAAACUCC
RNAcentral lists this ribosomal RNA (270 nucleotides) under uncultured Roseburia sp. RNAcentral describes it as "partial 16S ribosomal RNA". It matches the Rfam family "Bacterial small subunit ribosomal RNA", at positions 70 to 339 of the family's 1533-position model. The record is from RNAcentral. Lineage: Bacteria; Bacillati; Bacillota; Clostridia; Lachnospirales; Lachnospiraceae.